Molecule: ribosomal RNA, 497 nt
Filed under: uncultured bacterium
Lineage: Bacteria
Description: partial 16S ribosomal RNA
Rfam family: Bacterial small subunit ribosomal RNA
Source: RNAcentral
GAUGAACGCUGGCGGCGUGCCUAAUACAUGCAAGUCGAGCGAACAGACGAGGAGCUUGCUCCUCUGAUGUUAGCGGCGGACGGGUGAGUAACACGUGGAUAACCUACCUAUAAGACUGGGAUAACUUCGGGAACCCGGAGCUAAUACCGGAUAACAUGUUGAACCGCAUGGUUCAACAGUGAAAGACGGUCUUGCUGUCACUUAUAGAUGGAUCCGCGCCGCAUUAGCUAGUUGGUAAGGUAACGGCUUACCAAGGCAACGAUGCGUAGCCGACCUGAGAGGGUGAUCGGCCACGCUGGAACUGAGACACGGUCCAGACUCCUACGGGAGGCAGCAGUAGGGAAUCUUCCGCAAUGGGCGAAAGCCUGACGGAGCAACGCCGCGUGAGUGAAGAAGGUCUUCGGAUCGUAAAACUCUGUUAUUAGGGAAGAACAAAUGUGUAAGUAACUAUGCACGUCUUGACGGUACCUAAUCAGAAAGCCACGGCUAACUACGUG